CUAGCCCCGCGGCCUCACUGGGCAGAGGAGUGGUUGAGAGGCUGACUCUGUUUUCUCUGGGUUCCCUCCAGGGCCUGUGCAGCUGGACAGGGGCCAGGGCGCCCGACCCUCCUUCCCAAUUCUCAGCCCCCAACCCAGGGAGGAACCUGACAGUGGAGACUCAGACCACCAGCUCCAUCUCCCUGAGCUGGAAGGCCCCUGAUGGCACAGACUCACAGAACUCCAACUAUUCGGUUCAGUGCACUGGAGAUGGUGGCAGAUCAGAGACUCGAACCACAAGAUACACCGUCAUUGUGUAUGGACUUGGACCCGGGUCAUUGUAUACGUGUUCUGUGUCGGUGGAGAAAGACGGAGUAAAUAGCUCUGUGGGGACUGUCACUGGUGCCACAGCUCCCAACCCAGUGAGGAACCUGAGAGUGGAGGCUCAGACCAACAGCUCCAUCACCCUGACCUGGGAGGCCGAUGGCCCAGACCCACAGAACUCCACCUACUGGGUUGAGUACACUGGAGAUGGUGGCACAGCAGGGACUCGAAGCACAGCAAACACCAACAUCACCGUGGAUGGACUUGAACCCG
Molecule: small RNA, 576 nt
Filed under: Pan troglodytes (chimpanzee)
Lineage: Eukaryota; Metazoa; Chordata; Mammalia; Primates; Hominidae
Description: processed transcript
Source: RNAcentral